UAGAGUUUGAUUCUGGCUCAGAUUGAACGCUGGCGGCAGGCCUAACACAUGCAAGUCGAACGGUAACAGGAAGCAGCUUGCUGCUUCGCUGACGAGUGGCGGACGGGUGAGUAAUGUCUGGGAAACUGCCUGAUGGAGGGGGAUAACUACUGGAAACGGUAGCUAAUACCGCAUAACGUCGCAAGACCAAAGAGGGGGACCUUAGGGCCUCUUGCCAUCGGAUGUGCCCAGAUGGGAUUAGCUAGUAGGUGGGGUAACGGCUCACCUAGGCGACGAUCCCUAGCUGGUCUGAGAGGAUGACCAGCCACACUGGAACUGAGACACGGUCCAGACUCCUACGGGAGGCAGCAGUGGGGAAUAUUGCACAAUGGGCGCAAGCCUGAUGCAGCCAUGCCGCGUGUAUGAAGAAGGCCUUCGGGUUGUAAAGUACUUUCAGCGGGGAGGAAGGGAGUAAAGUUAAUACCUUUGCUCAUUGACGUUACCCGCAGAAGAAGCACCGGCUAACUCCGUGCCAGCAGCCGCGGUAAU
RNAcentral lists this ribosomal RNA (528 nucleotides) under uncultured Enterobacterales bacterium. RNAcentral describes it as "bacterial SSU rRNA". It matches the Rfam family "Bacterial small subunit ribosomal RNA", at positions 1 to 524 of the family's 1533-position model. The record is from RNAcentral. Lineage: Bacteria; Pseudomonadati; Pseudomonadota; Gammaproteobacteria; Enterobacterales.